AGAUUGAACGCUGGCGGCAUGCUUUACACAUGCAAGUCGAACGGUAACAGGCCGCAAGGUGCUGACGAGUGGCGAACGGGUGAGUAAUGUAUCGGAACGUGCCCAGUCGUGGGGGAUAACGCAGCGAAAGCUGCGCUAAUACCGCAUACGAUCUAUGGAUGAAAGCGGGGGACCGUAAGGCCUCGCGCGAUUGGAGCGGCCGAUAUCAGAUUAGGUAGUUGGUGGGGUAAAGGCUCACCAAGCCAACGAUCUGUAGCUGGUCUGAGAGGACGACCAGCCACACUGGGACUGAGACACGGCCCAGACUCCUACGGGAGGCAGCAGUGGGGAAUUUUGGACAAUGGGCGCAAGCCUGAUCCAGCAAUGCCGCGUGCAGGAAGAAGGCCUUCGGUUGUAAACUGCGUUUUGUACGGAACGAACGGUCCGUGGUUAACUACGUGGGCUAAUGACGGUACGUAAGAACUAAGACACCGGACUAACGUACGUGUACCAGCC
RNAcentral lists this ribosomal RNA (495 nucleotides) under uncultured soil bacterium. RNAcentral describes it as "bacterial SSU rRNA". It matches the Rfam family "Bacterial small subunit ribosomal RNA", at positions 26 to 516 of the family's 1533-position model. The record is from RNAcentral.